GAAACAGUUUAAAUCCUAUUACCCGACGUUAAGAUAUUUAACGUUCGCCUGACGUUAUACUCUGCACCACACUUUUCGAGCGACUUUAAUACGUAAUUGCCAACGUAAACCAACGUUUUGUCAUCAAACGUUGUAAAACGCUAACGUUGUGAAAUGUCGCCUGUGGUCAUUUCUGACUGACGUUAAGAAAUUGCGAGAAAUGGUAACAAAUUCUGCCUAAAAAAUGUAGAGAUAUGAGUGUAGGUGUACAACUUAAUUCGGUCCGUUUUUUUGCUUGAAAAACGCAUUUAUUGUGAAAGAACGGUACGUACGGUUUUAUUCAAAGUAUUGUCCAUCGCUAGCCACUAUUUUUUCCCAUCUUUCUAGCAGUAUAUGGAUACCGCGUCGGAAUAGCGACGUUCAUCCUUUGAGGCUAUCCACAAAUCGACCCAAUUUUUGAUAUUUUCAUAUGAUGUGAAGUGCUGCUCAGACAGGCCGUGCGCCAUCGACCGAAAUAAAUGGUAAUCAGAGGGAGCAAUGUCUGGUGAAUACAGCGGGUGGGGUAGGACUUCCCAUUUCAAAGUUUCCAAAUAUGUUUUGACGGGUUUUGCGACAUGGGGUCGAGCAUUGUCAUGCUGCAAAAUCACUUUAUCGUGUCUAUCGUUGUUGAAAUGGCUUGUCGAGUCACUCCCAAUGAUCCUGCCAAUUCUUCUUGCGUUUGACACGAGUCUUGAUCAAGUAAUGCCUUCAAUUCUGCAUCUUCGAAAACCUUAUUUCUUCCACCGCCAUGCCGGUCUUCGACGUCAAAAUCACCGUUUUUGAAGCAUUAAAACCACUCUCGGCACGUUCUUUCACUAAUAGCGGCCUCACCAUACGUAUUUGAGAGCAUUCGAUGAGCCUCAGCCACAGAUUUUUUCAUAUUGAAGCAGAAAAUUAAAACCUCCCGCAAAUGACGAGAAUUUGGCUCGUAAGCUGACAUUUUCAAUCGAGAAUAACUUUAUGAUGCAGACACAAAUCGACUAAUAUUUCUAUGGCGUUAUGUUUACAAAUGCCUAAGCUUAUUGUAUGACGUCUGCGAUCUAUUUAUUUCGACCACCACUUACCGCUACAGCCAUCUUUUGAAAACGGACCGAACUAAGUUGUACACCUAAUAAAACAUUCGGUUUGAUGUGACGUUUGACUUUUUUGCAGAGGUUAAAUAUUUGUAAAAUAUGGAAAAACAGAAAAAAAAGUUUAAACAUUUUCCCACCUUUUAUAGAAAAAGGCUAAAACUUUGUGAACAAUUUAAAAAGGAUCUAAAGCAUAGAGAUGAUUUUAAGAGAAAAAAAAUAACACAUCAGAAUCAUCAAAAGAUAUAGAUAUAGAUCAAGAUGUAAAUCUUGAGACUCCCAUCCAAGCUUCAAGGUCAGGAAAAUCAACAAAUUUUCCUGAAUUACCAAAAUUUUCUGAUAUGGAAACUGAAGAUAUCGACAUACAAUCGUUAUAUGACCAUGAGGAAAUUUUUUUUAAGACCAAGACAAGGUGCUAAAGGUUAUUGAAAAUUUAAGAGACUGGGCCCUGAGGAAUUGUAUUACGCAUGUUGCUCUGAAUGAAUUGUUAUACCUUUUGUCUCAGGUUGAUGGUUUUAACAAUUUACCCAAAGAUUGUAGAAUCUUACUACAAACUCCACAAAAAGUAGAAAUUGUGCCAAUGGGAACUGGCCACUUUUGGUAUUAUGGGAUCAAACAGAGUUUAACUAACAUUCUACUUAGCAACGAAGGUAUUACAAAACCAGUGAAUGUUGCAAUAAAUUUUUAUAUAGAUGGUCUACCAAUAAAUAAUAGUUCAAAAACCCAAUUUUGGCCAAUUCUGAUGAAAAUUGCUGAAUUUUCAAAUGUUGCUCCACAAGUCGUGGCAAUUUAUUGUGAUGAGAGUAAACUUCCUGUUAAAUUAUUUUUUCGAGAGUUUGUCACUGAACUUAACAACCUAUUCAAGGAAUGCAGAUAAAUAAGUUUCAAAUAAAAAUAAAUGCCUUUAUAUGUGAUACACCUGCACGUGCUUUUUCAAAAUGUAUCUGUAUAAAGUAAAGCUAAAGGAGAGAGAGAGAGAUUGUGUAGGUGCAGCCACCUAUACAUUUCAUAUUGCGGUAGGUCAGGUCGCGCGGUAUGCGUAGAACGGUGAAAAUGCGCGCAAUAGGCGCCGACCGCGUUGCGUCCCAGGCGGCCCGGCGUAGGGCGUUCGCGCGCUUGCGUGAGCAUGUUGGGAGGGGCGCGCAGCCCGGGCGAGCGAGCAUUCGUCUUCCGGAUGUCUCGCGACACACACCCGUUGUAUUCGGUGUUCUAUAACUUAAUAAUUGCGUCAUUCUUUUCCGCAGUGAAUAGUACAUUUGAGUCGUGGCGUGAUAAAAUUCUGAUGUUCGAGGUGAAACAGUUAUUGUAUCGGUUUAUCGUAUAUGCGAUACGUUUGAGCGGCGACGUUCGUCGAAAUAAAGGACACGAGCCCUGUUGGAAAAUUACUGCGACGAUUCUGGAAACGAGGAAAGGCAGCCAUAUUGGGAACGUUCUAGAAGGCCUGUUCAGAUGGAAUACGAGAAGCCACUUACAAAUCGAGAAGGAAGCCGUCCGUGGCUUGGUCUGUAAGACCAUUUAUAAUUCCAAAUACUGUUUAUAUGACGAGAACUUCGAUUCAAAGCUUGCCGACAUAUCGAGAGGGCAAGCUGAGAGGAAAACUUCCUCGAUGAUCGAAGAGUUGUGCACAAUUUGUUUCGAGUCACGUAAUAUAUAUGAGCUCAUGUAAGGUUUAUAUACUUUGUUUAAUUCAUUGAUUGCAAUCAGUUACUGAUUAUAACAAACUGUAAAAUAUUUCUUAUUCUUUUCUUUGCGUUCGAAAAAGCGUGAUCAUUAGAUCUUUUGUAUUCAAUUACAUAUAACGUACAUACGUACUUGCGUUGUUGUCCUUGUUUGCAAUAACCGAUUAAUAUUAGCUCGAGUUUUUAUAUUGAUUAAAGUCUCUUGAAAUAUUCUAUUCAUUCAUAUGUUUAAACGUGAACAAUUGACAAAUUAGAAUUAUUCUCGUAAAUAUUUCGCUAAUUAUUUCGUAGUGAUUCUGAAUGA
Molecule: RNA transcript, 3071 nt
Organism: Temnothorax curvispinosus
Lineage: Eukaryota; Metazoa; Arthropoda; Insecta; Hymenoptera; Formicidae
Exons: 3
Source: RefSeq, a predicted model, not a curated record